Molecule: ribosomal RNA, 486 nt
Filed under: uncultured bacterium
Lineage: Bacteria
Description: partial 16S ribosomal RNA
Rfam family: Bacterial small subunit ribosomal RNA
Source: RNAcentral
AUUGAACGCUGGCGGCAUGCCUUACACAUGCAAGUCGAACGGCAGCACGGGUGCUUGCACCUGGUGGCGAGUGGCGAACGGGUGAGUAAUACAUCGGAACAUGUCCUGUCGUGGGGGAUAGCCCGGCGAAAGCCGGAUUAAUACCGCAUACGAUCUACGGAUGAAAGCGGGGGACCUUCGGGCCUCGCGCUAUAGGGUUGGCCGAUGGCUGAUUAGCUAGUUGGGGGGGUAAAGGCCUACCAAGGCGACGACCAGUAGCUGGUCUGAGAGGACGAACAGCCACACUGGGACUGAGACACGGGCCAGACUCCCACGGGAGGGAGCAGGGGGGAAUUUUGGACAAUGGGGGCAAGCCUGAUCCAACCAUACCGCGGGGGUGAAAAAGGCCUUCGGGUUGUAAAACCCUUUUGUUCGGAAAGAAAAGCAUCGGCCUAAUACCGCGCGGGGGUGACGGUAACCGAAGAAUAAGCACCGGCUAACUUCGUG